AUUGAACGCUGGCGGCAUGCCUUACACAUGCAAGUCGAACGGCAGCACGGGAGUAAUCCUGGUGGCGAGUGGCGAACGGGUGAGUAAAGCAUCGGAACGUGCCCAGUCGUGGGGGAUAACGUAGCGAAAGCUACGCUAAUACCGCAUACGAUCUGUGGAUGAAAGCGGGGGACCGUAAGGCCUCGCGCGAUUGGAGCGGCCGAUGUCAGAUUAGGUAGUUGGUGGGGUAAAGGCUCACCAAGCCGACGAUCUGUAGCUGGUCUGAGAGGACGACCGGCCACCCUGGAACUGAGCCACGGCCCAGACUCCUACGGGAGGCAGCAGUGGGGAAUUUUGGACAAUGGGCGCAAGCCUGAUCCAGCAAUGCCGCGUGCAGGAUGAAGGCCUUCGGGUUGUAAACUGCUUUUGUACGGAGCGAAAAGGCUUCCACUAAUACUGGGGGCUCAUGACGGUACCGUAAGAAUAAGCACCGGCUAACUACGUG
Molecule: ribosomal RNA, 484 nt
Filed under: uncultured bacterium
Lineage: Bacteria
Description: partial 16S ribosomal RNA
Rfam family: Bacterial small subunit ribosomal RNA
Source: RNAcentral